RNAcentral lists this ribosomal RNA (383 nucleotides) under uncultured bacterium. RNAcentral's name for it is "bacterial SSU rRNA". It matches the Rfam family "Bacterial small subunit ribosomal RNA", at positions 29 to 416 of the family's 1533-position model. The record is from RNAcentral.
AUUGAACGCUGGCGGCAUGCCUUACACAUGCAAGUCGAGCGCGAAAGGGGGCAACCCCGAGUAGAGCGGCGGACGGGUGAGUAACACAUCGGAACGUGCCCAGUAGUGGGGGACAACCUCGAGAAAUCGAGGCUAAUACCGCAUACGACCCACGGGUGAAAGCGGGGGACCGCAAGGCCUCGCGCUAUUGGAGCGGCCGAUGUCCGAUUAGCUAGUUGGCGGGGUAAGAGCCCACCAAGGCGACGAUCGGUAGCUGGUCUGAGAGGACGACCAGCCACACUGGGACUGAGACACGGCCCAGACUCCUACGGGAGGCAGCAGUGGGGAAUUUUGGACAAUGGGGGCAACCCUGAUCCAGCCAUGCCGCGUGUGUGAAGAAGGCC